RNAcentral lists this transfer RNA (75 nucleotides) under Bacillota bacterium. Its description in RNAcentral is "Firmicutes bacterium (anaerobic digester metagenome) tRNA-Asn". It matches the Rfam family "tRNA". From Rfam's summary of the family: Transfer RNA (tRNA) molecules are approximately 80 nucleotides in length. Their secondary structure includes four short double-helical elements and three loops (D, anti-codon, and T loops). Further hydrogen bonds mediate the characteristic L-shaped molecular structure. tRNAs have two regions of fundamental functional importance: the anti-codon, which is responsible for specific mRNA codon recognition, and the 3' end, to which the tRNAs corresponding amino acid is attached (by aminoacyl-tRNA synthetases). tRNAs cope with the degeneracy of the genetic code in two manners: having more than one tRNA (with a specific anti-codon) for a particular amino acid; and 'wobble' base-pairing, i.e. permitting non-standard base-pairing at the 3rd anti-codon position. The record is from RNAcentral. Lineage: Bacteria; Bacillati; Bacillota. RNAcentral also lists the same sequence under 1 other name.
UCCUCGGUAGCUCAAUGGUAGAGCACCCGGCUGUUAACCGGGUGGUUGUUGGUUCGAGUCCAACCCGGGGAGCCA